This 496-nucleotide ribosomal RNA is filed under the name uncultured bacterium. Its description in RNAcentral is "partial 16S ribosomal RNA". It matches the Rfam family "Bacterial small subunit ribosomal RNA", at positions 28 to 506 of the family's 1533-position model. The record is from RNAcentral.
GAUGAACGCUGGCGGCGUGCCUAAUACAUGCAAGUCGAGCGAACAGACGAGGAGCUUGCUCCUUCGACGUUAGCGGCGGACGGGUGAGUAACACGUAGGUAACCUACCUAUAAGACUGGGAUAACUUCGGGAAACCGGAGCUAAUACCGGAUAAUAUUUCGAACCGCAUGGUUCGAUAGUGAAAGAUGGCUUUGCUAUCACUUAUAGAUGGACCUGCGCCGUAUUAGCUAGUUGGUAAGGUAACGGCUUACCAAGGCAACGAUACGUAGCCGACCUGAGAGGGUGAUCGGCCACACUGGAACUGAGACACGGUCCAGACUCCUACGGGAGGCAGCAGUAGGGAACCUUCCGCAAUGGGCGAAAGCCUGACGGAGCAACGCCGCGUGAGUGAUGAAGGUCUUCGGAUCGUAAAACUCUGUUAUUAGGGAAGAACAAACGUGUAAGUAACUGUGCACGUCUUGACGGUACCUAAUCAGAAAGCCACGGCUAACUACGU